AAAAGUAAUCAUAAUUUUCGUAUAAAGUUGGAGAUACGGUCCGACAGUUUCUACCAAGUUGCCUUAAAUGACUUGACUACGAUAUGUUAC
This 90-nucleotide non-coding RNA is filed under the name uncultured Clostridium sp. RNAcentral's name for it is "Purine riboswitch". It matches the Rfam family "Purine riboswitch aptamer". Rfam says of the family: Riboswitches are metabolite binding domains within certain messenger RNAs that serve as precision sensors for their corresponding targets. Allosteric rearrangement of mRNA structure is mediated by ligand binding, and this results in modulation of gene expression. A class of riboswitches that selectively recognises guanine and becomes saturated at concentrations as low as 5 nM. The record is from RNAcentral. Lineage: Bacteria; Bacillati; Bacillota; Clostridia; Eubacteriales; Clostridiaceae.